This 660-nucleotide ribosomal RNA is filed under the name uncultured bacterium. RNAcentral describes it as "bacterial SSU rRNA". It matches the Rfam family "Bacterial small subunit ribosomal RNA", at positions 94 to 788 of the family's 1533-position model. The record is from RNAcentral.
AGUGGCGGACGGGUGAGUAACGCGUGAGAAUCUGCCUUGGGGUCGGGGACAACCACUGGAAACGGUGGCUAAUACCGGAUAAGCCGAUUGGUGAAAGAUUUAUUGCCCGAAGAGGAGCUCGCGUCUGAUUAGCUAGUUGGUGAGGUAAGAGCUCACCAAGGCAGCGAUCAGUAGCUGGUCUGAGAGGACGAUCAGCCACACUGGGACUGAGACACGGCCCAGACUCCUACGGGAGGCAGCAGUGGGGAAUUUUCCGCAAUGGGCGAAAGCCUGACGGAGCAAGACCGCGUGAGGGAGGAAGGCUCUUGGGUUGUAAACCUCUUUUCUCAGGGAAGAAGCUCUGACGGUACCUGAGGAAUCAGCCUCGGCUAACUCCGUGCCAGCAGCCGCGGUAAUACGGAGGAGGCAAGCGUUAUCCGGAAUUAUUGGGCGUAAAGCGUCCGCAGGUGGCGAUUCAAGUCUGCUGUCAAAGCACGGGGCUUAACUCCGUAAAGGCAGUGGAAACUGAAUAGCUAGAGUGCCGUAGGGGUAGAGGGAAUUCCCGGUUUAGCGGUGAAAUGCGUAGAGAUCGGGAAGAACAUCGGUGGCGAAAGCGCUCUACUGGACGGCAACUGACACUCAGGGACGAAAGCUAGGGGAGCGAAUGGGAUUAGAUACCCC